ACUCCUACGGGAGGCAGCAGUGGGGAAUAUUGCACAAUGGGCGCAAGCCUGAUGCAGCCAUGCCGCGUGUGUGAAGAAGGCCUUCGGGUUGUAAAGCACUUUCAGUCGUGAGGAAGGUAGUGUAGUUAAUAGCUGCAUUAUUUGACGUUAGCGACAGAAGAAGCACCGGCUAACUCCGUGCCAGCAGCCGCGGUAAUACGGAGGGUGCGAGCGUUAAUCGGAAUUACUGGGCGUAAAGCGCAUGCAGGUGGUUGUUAAGUCAGAUGUGAAAGCCCGGGGCGUCAACCUCGGAAUAGCAUUUGAAACUGGCAGACUAGAGUACUGUAGAGGGGGUAGAAUUUCAGGUGUAGCGUGAAAUGCGUAGAGAUCUGAAGGAUACCGGUGGCGAAGCGGCCCCUGGACAGAUACUGACACUCAGAUGCGAAAGCGUGGGAGCAAACAGGAUUAGAUACCCCUGGUAGACUGUCA
RNAcentral lists this ribosomal RNA (468 nucleotides) under uncultured bacterium. Its description in RNAcentral is "bacterial SSU rRNA". It matches the Rfam family "Bacterial small subunit ribosomal RNA", at positions 335 to 802 of the family's 1533-position model. The record is from RNAcentral.